UCUAAUAUGGCAGAUAAGUGCACUGGAUUUAAGCUCCAAAAAUAGAGUUAGUCUCUUUUUAGAA
This 64-nucleotide transfer RNA is filed under the name Cylindraustralia sp. HS-2014. RNAcentral describes it as "tRNA-Leu". It matches the Rfam family "tRNA". From Rfam's summary of the family: Transfer RNA (tRNA) molecules are approximately 80 nucleotides in length. Their secondary structure includes four short double-helical elements and three loops (D, anti-codon, and T loops). The record is from RNAcentral. Lineage: Eukaryota; Metazoa; Arthropoda; Insecta; Orthoptera; Cylindrachetidae.